AGGAAUAUUGGUCAAUGGACGAGAGUCUGAACCAGCCAAGUAGCGUGAAGGAUGACUGCCCUAUGGGUUGUAAACUUCUUUUAUACGGGAAUAAAGUGAGGCACGUGUGCCUUUUUGUAUGUACCGUAUGAAUAAGGAUCGGCUAACUCCGUGCCAGCAGCCGCGGUAAUACGGAGGAUCCGAGCGUUAUCCGGAUUUAUUGGGUUUAAAGGGAGCGUAGGCGGACGCUUAAGUCAGUUGUGAAAGUUUGCGGCUCAACCGUAAAAUUGCAGUUGAUACUGGGUGUCUUGAGUACAGUAGAGGCAGGCGGAAUUCGUGGUGUAGCGGUGAAAUGCUUAGAUAUCACGAAGAACUCCGAUUGCGAAGGCAGCUUGCUGGACUGUAACUGACGCUGAUGCUCGAAAGUGUGGGUAUCAAACAGGAUUAGAUACCCUGGUAGUCCACACAGUAAACGAUGAGUACUCGCUGUUUGCGAUAUACAGUAAGCGGCCAAGCGAAAGCGUUAAGUAUUCCACCUGGGGAGUACGCCGGCAACGGUGAAACUCAAAGGAAUUGACGGGGGCCCGCACAAGCGGAGGAACAUGUGGUUUAAUUCGAUGAUACGCGAGGAACCUUACCCGGGCUUGAAUUGCAACUGAAUGAUGUGGAGACAUGUCAGCCGCAAGGCAGUUGUGAAGGUGCUGCAUGGUUGUCGUCAGCUCGUGCCGUGAGGUGUCGGCUUAAGUGCCAUAACGAGCGCAACCCUUAUCGAUAGUUACCAUCAGGUUAUGCUGGGGACUCUGCCGAGACUGCCGUCGUAAGAUGUGAGGAAGGUGGGGAUGACGUCAAAUCAGCACGGCCCUUACGUCCGGGGCUACACACGUGUUACAAUGGGGGGUACAGAAGGCAGCUACACGGCGACGUGAUGCUAAUCCCUAAAGCCUCUCUCAGUUCGGAUUGGAGUCUGCAACCCGACUCCAUGAAGCUGGAUUCGCUAGUAAUCGCGCAUCAGCCACGGCGCGGUGAAUACGUUCCCG
Molecule: ribosomal RNA, 1016 nt
Filed under: uncultured bacterium
Lineage: Bacteria
Description: bacterial SSU rRNA
Rfam family: Bacterial small subunit ribosomal RNA
Source: RNAcentral